This 509-nucleotide ribosomal RNA is filed under the name uncultured bacterium. RNAcentral describes it as "bacterial SSU rRNA". It matches the Rfam family "Bacterial small subunit ribosomal RNA", at positions 19 to 518 of the family's 1533-position model. The record is from RNAcentral.
CUGGCUCAGGAUGAACGCUAGCUACAGGCUUAACACAUGCAAGUCGAGGGGCAGCAUGUUGGUUGCUGCAACCAAUGAUGGCGACCGGCGCACGGGUGAGUAACGCGUAUCCAACCUUCCCUAUAGUAGAGGAUAGCCCGGCGAAAGUCGGAUUAAUACUCUAUGUUUUCCGUUGCAGACAUCUAAGAUGGAACAAAGGCUUGCCGCUAUAGGAUGGGGAUGCGUCUGAUUAGGUAGUCGGCGGGGUAACGGCCCACCGAGCCAUCGAUCAGUAGGGGUUCUGAGAGGAAGGUCCCCCACAUUGGAACUGAGACACGGUCCAAACUCCUACGGGAGGCAGCAGUGAGGAAUAUUGGUCAAUGGGCGAGAGCCUGAACCAGCCAAGUAGCGUGCAGGACGACGGCCCUAUGGGUUGUAAACUGCUUUUAUGCGGGGAUAAAGUUCACUACGUGUAGUGUUUUGUAGGUACCGCAUGAAUAAGGACCGGCUAAUUCCGUGCCAGCAGCAGC